CCUACGGGGGACAGCAGUGAGGAAUAUUGGUCAAUGGACGAGAGUCUGAACCAGCCAAGUAGCGUGAAGGAUGACUGCCCUAUGGGUUGUAAACUUCUUUUAUAUGGGAAUAAAAUGUUCCACGUGUGGGAUUUUGUAUGUACCAUAUGAAUAAGGAUCGGCUAACUCCGUGCCAGCAGCCGCGGUAAUACGGAGGAUCCGAGCGUUAUCCGGAUUUAUUGGGUUUAAAGGGAGCGUAGGUGGAUUGUUAAGUCAGUUGUGAAAGUUUGCGGCUCAACCGUAAAAUUGCAGUUGAAACUGGCAGUCUUGAGUACAGUAGAGGUGGGCGGAAUGCGUGGUGUAGCGGUGAAAUGCUUAGAUAUCACGAAGAACUCCGAUUGCGAAGGCAGUUCACUGGACUGCAACUGACACUGAGGCUCGAAAGUGUGGGUAUCAAACAGGAUUAGAUACCCGGGUAGUC
RNAcentral lists this ribosomal RNA (460 nucleotides) under uncultured bacterium. RNAcentral describes it as "partial 16S ribosomal RNA". It matches the Rfam family "Bacterial small subunit ribosomal RNA", at positions 338 to 795 of the family's 1533-position model. The record is from RNAcentral.